This 505-nucleotide ribosomal RNA is filed under the name uncultured bacterium. RNAcentral describes it as "partial 16S ribosomal RNA". It matches the Rfam family "Bacterial small subunit ribosomal RNA", at positions 28 to 507 of the family's 1533-position model. The record is from RNAcentral.
GACGAACGCUGGCGGCGUGCCUAAUACAUGCAAGUCGAACGCACAGUUUAUACCGUAGCUUGCUACACCAUAAACUGUGAGUUGCGAACGGGUGAGUAACGCGUAGGUAACCUGCCUGGUAGCGGGGGAUAACUAUUGGAAACGAAAGCUAAUACCGCAUAAUAUUGAUUAUUGCAUGAUAAUUGAUUGAAAGAUGCUAUUGCAUCACUACCAGCUGGACCUGCGUUGUAUUAGCUAGUAGGGGAGGUAACGGCUCACCUAGGCGACGAUACAUAGCCGACCUGAGAGGGUGAUCGGCCACACUGGGACUGAGACACGGCCCAGACUCCUACGGGAGGCAGCAGUAGGGAAUCUUCGGCAAUGGACGAAAGUCUGACCGAGCAACGCCGCGUGAGUGAAGAAGGUUUUCGGAUCGUAAAGCUCUGUUGUAAGAGAAGAACGGGUGUGAGAGUGGAAAGUUCACACUGUGACGGUAGCUUACCAGAAAGGGACGGCUAACUACGUG